Small nuclear RNA from Fukomys damarensis (Damara mole-rat), 132 nucleotides. Lineage: Eukaryota; Metazoa; Chordata; Mammalia; Rodentia; Bathyergidae. The record is from Ensembl.
GUGUUGUAUGAAAGGUUGGCACUGUCCUUGAUAAGGAUGGAAGAGGCCCUCAGGCCUGACAACAUGCAUACAGUUAAGGCAUUGCCUUAACCUGAGAUUCAAGAUCAAAUGGCAUAGUUACUACUUAACUGG